This 492-nucleotide ribosomal RNA is filed under the name uncultured bacterium. Its description in RNAcentral is "partial 16S ribosomal RNA". It matches the Rfam family "Bacterial small subunit ribosomal RNA", at positions 29 to 507 of the family's 1533-position model. The record is from RNAcentral.
AGUGAACGCUGGCGGUAGGCCUAACACAUGCAAGUCGAACGGCAGCACAGUAAGAGCUUGCUCUUACGGGUGGCGAGUGGCGGACGGGUGAGGAAUACAUCGGAAUCUACUUUUUCGUGGGGGAUAACGUAGGGAAACUUACGCUAAUACCGCAUACGACCUACGGGUGAAAGCAGGGGAUCUUCGGACCUUGCGCGAUUGAAUGAGCCGAUGUCGGAUUAGCUAGUUGGCGGGGUAAGGGCCCACCAAGGCGACGAUCCGUAGCUGGUCUGAGAGGAUGAUCAGCCACACUGGAACUGAGACACGGUCCAGACUCCUACGGGAGGCAGCAGUGGGGAAUAUUGGACAAUGGGCGCAAGCCUGAUCCAGCCAUACCGCGUGGGUGAAGAAGGCCUUCGGGUUGUAAAGCCCUUUUGUUGGGAAAGAAAAGCAGCAGGUUAAUACCCCGCUGUUCUGACGGUACCCAAAGAAUAAGCACCGGCUAACGUCGUG